This 440-nucleotide ribosomal RNA is filed under the name uncultured bacterium. Its description in RNAcentral is "partial 16S ribosomal RNA". It matches the Rfam family "Bacterial small subunit ribosomal RNA", at positions 338 to 795 of the family's 1533-position model. The record is from RNAcentral.
CCUACGGGUGGCAGCAGUGGGGGAUAUUGCACAAUGGGGGGAACCCUGAUGCAGCGACCCCGCGUGGGUGAAGAAGCGCCUCGGCGCGUAAAGCCCUGUCAGCAGGGAAGAAAAUGACGGUACCUGAAGAAGAAGCCCCGGCUAACUACGUGCCAGCAGCCGCGGGAAUACGUAGGGGGCAAGCGUUAUCCGGAUUUACUGGGUGUAAAGGGGGCGCAGACGGGGAUGCAAGCCAGGAGUGAAAGCCCGGGGCCCAACCCCGGGACUGCGCUUGGAACUGCGUGGCUGGAGUGCAGGAGGGGCAGGCGGAAUGCCUGGUGUAGCGGUGAAAUGCGUAGAUAUCAGGAGGAACACCGGUGGCGAAGGCGGCCUGCUGGACUGCAACUGACGUUGAGGCCCGAAAGCGUGGGGAGCAAACAGGAUUAGAUACCCCAGUAGUC